UAAUUAAAAAAUGAUGGGAACUUCAUUCUGAACUCAGAAAUGUUUAUGUUCAAGUUUCUCAACCUGUCAUCACCAUGUCAGCUCUUGG
This 88-nucleotide small nucleolar RNA is filed under the name Loxodonta africana (African savanna elephant). The record is from RNAcentral. Lineage: Eukaryota; Metazoa; Chordata; Mammalia; Proboscidea; Elephantidae.